RNAcentral lists this ribosomal RNA (308 nucleotides) under uncultured bacterium. RNAcentral's name for it is "bacterial SSU rRNA". It matches the Rfam family "Bacterial small subunit ribosomal RNA", at positions 28 to 334 of the family's 1533-position model. The record is from RNAcentral.
GACGAACGCUGGCGGCACGCUUAACACAUGCAAGUCGAACGCUCUCGACCUUCGGGUCAUAUGGGAGAGUGGCGAACGGGUGAGUAACACGUGAGAAACCUGCCCUAAAGAUCGGGACAACCACUGGAAACGGUGGCUAAUACCGAAUAUCUUCCCUUGGCCGCAUGGUCAGUUGAAGAAAUGCUCCGGCGCUUUAGGAGGGUCUCGCGGCCUAUCAGCUAGUUGGUGAGGUAAUGGCUCACCAAGGCAUCGACGGGUAGCUGGUCUGAGAGGACGAUCAGCCACACUGGGACUGAGACACGGCCCAG